UCCAAGGGCAGCUGUGUCUUCUCCUGAGAGAGCAGAGGAAGAGGCUCGUGUGGCUGUGUUAGUAGCCCUGACAACCAACUUAACCAGGGUCCCCAAAGGCCUCCCAGCCUGCACUGUCUAGUCAGCUUGCAGCGGGACACUGGGCCCUUGGCUUUGCAAGGCAGGAGAAGCAGCCAGCGUUGUUGGGGACGCACACAGGCAGGAGCCAUGGACUCCUUUCAGUGUGAGCGAAGCACCACGCUGCUCAGCCUCUAACCCAACUGCACUGGCUGCUGUUCCUCCAGGAGAGAGGGCGCGGUGGGUGCCAAGGGAAGGCUGAGCUUGCCUCUGGCUCGGGGAGGAGGCAGGGAGGACGUAAAAGGCUCACAUUGGAGCUGCCUCCUGACAGAUACAUAGUAUUUUCCAGGUAGGGAGGUGGUGGGUAAGGAGGACUGGUCUAUUCUAGAACCUGCUGGUUCUUUCCUUUUGACAGGCAAACUGAGGCUUCAGAAAUAGGAGGAGGUCACGUGAUGAAGGGACUUCUCAGGGAUGCUAAGGAGUUUGGGCUUUGAUACAACCCCUGAAAGGUCUUAGGCAGGGUAAUAUCCUCAUCAGUUCUGUUCUUAAGAAAGACCCCUCCAGGCUAAGUUUUUGGGAGAAAUUUUCAUCCUUUUUGCCCUCCAGCUAAUUUUCUCUGUUACUUCUCUUGAUUACUUUCUCUUUUUCAGCCUCACAUCAGCUACCAGCUCUUCAGUGUCUUAUUUCUUUCCUUCCCAAACUUACUGCUGAUUCCCAAGUCCAAGUUCAAGCACUUUACUAACAUUUCUUUUAAUAGACUUUAUUGGGCUCUCCUUACGUCCUCGAAACUCGCCCACGCUGACUGCCUGGUCUCUCUAAGGCAGAGCUCCUAGUUUAAUGACCCAGGCUUCCAUGCGCGGUAAAGCUUCCAGCCCUUAGCUAGGCAGUCAGGUUCCUGCACCUUCCUGCACCUCCCCAUGUUUCCGCUCAGGAGCUGUCGUAGGCACACUGUCCUGGUCUCACUAAACACACCUUCUCAGUGCCACCACACUUGCGCGGCCACUGCCAGCCUCCACCCUUGCUUCUGUUGGCUGCGCCACCUCCUGCCUGACGCCUUCCUCUUUCAUGAAGCCCCUAGUGAGCAUUCCCUCCACUGCCCUCCUACAACAGCCAGCAAGGAGACCACCCAGGAGGUUCUUGGCACAUGAACGCUUUGUACUGUCACUUUUUUUUUUACGUGUCCAUAAGUCAUCUAUGAGGAGGGACCAUGUCUUAAGGGAGGAAUAGGAUGACAAAAAAAUAGCCUUGGGACAGGGCAAACCGGUAGGACUAGUCCCAGCUCCCACACCCUACAGCUUGGGAAACUCCAUCAACCUCUCUGGCCUUCGGUUCCCUUGUGUGUUAAAUGCCAAAUUGUGCAAGAGUGAUUUGGCCUCUGCUGUCCUUUCUUGCCUUGGGUGUGGCGAGUGUCCAAAAAGUGGGUGAUGGUGCCAUCUCAGGGUGGACUUUCACAGAGGGCCCCGACAAGCUAGAGGGGAUGUGUGUGUGUUUCUCUUUCAGGAGCCUGCUCCUUUCCAGUCGCUGCCCCAACUGGCCCCGGCACGUUGGUCUGGCUUGGAACAUCCUGUGGCUCUGGGAAGCAGAGCUCCCCAAGUGCCACUGCCACAGACGUGGGGGCGUGAACCCAGGCGCGGAACCGGCUGCGGGCUGCCCAGGUGAGGCGUUCGUGCGGCCUCUGGGAAGCCGUGGCAGUGCAGACAGGCUGCCCCUCGGAGCUCUGACAAGGCAGGCCUCCGGCCGGCGAGUCCCUGGGCAAGCCUCUGAGGUCGAUGUUGGCCCAGGGACCUCACGCACACUAUUUUAAGCUUUUACAAGCUCAAAAGGGAUAACGUCCCAGUGAUCCCCUUUAUCAUUUGGCCUUUUCCUCCAGAGCUGUCAUGACACGUGUUUUUUUAGCCACAUCUUAAGAAAUGGCAGCACAUUUGUUGGAGAUGGAAGACUAUCGUGUUUCUGAAGUCGGCCUCAGCCUGUCACUGGGAGCGCGGUUUGAAUCUUUAAACAGUCUACCCGCCUCAAGGGUCAGGCGACCUGGGGUCUGAGGCUGCCUCGAGGCCCUCGUCACAGAUGCUAUGUUUAAGCUAAAUUUCUUCCAAUUUUCUAAUUCACCAGUUAUUUUUGCAAGAGAAAUACAUGCACACAAUUUUGUAAAAAAAUUUAAGACUUAAAAGGAAAUUUGUAAUAAAAUUAAGUGGCCCUCAUAUCCCCCUUCCCCUCCCCAAAGGCAACCACCAAUAUCAGUUUCAUAUGGAAGCUUCCAGAAAUAUCCUGUGCAUGUGCUGGAGGGGUGUGUGUAAAAUCUCCCUCCUUUUUAUAUAAGUGAGAACCCAGUUUAGACAACUGUUACAAACUUUGCUUUUUUUCACUUAAAUAUCUUAGAGAUUUUUAGACACAUGUAGAUCUCAUUUUUUUCAGUAGUUGCAUAAUAUCCUGUUGUAUGGAUGGACCCAAAUGUCUAAUCUGCCCUCCCGGUGGCAGGUUACGUCACGCCCAGUUUUUGGCUUCUAUCUGUAAUGCUGCAGUGAACAUAUGGAUACUAUGCGGCUUUGGGCAUGUAUGUGGCAGUUUCUGUUACCUUUUCCCUGUAUUACUUUCUCUAACUCUUUGCAUGUCUUUCUCAGCAUUUCUUCUAGGCUUUUUACAGGCCCUUCAGUGGCUCUGCAGCCUCUGUCUCCCCUCAUGCCCAGGCAGGGGCAAACAGCCCACGACGCCAAAGCCACCAGCCUGGGAGCCAGGUGUCGGCGACGGACCCAGCGCUGCUCCCCGUGUGCUAUUUCAGGCUGUCAGGCGGGGGACCUGGAAUCUCCGCACUGGGAGAGAGAGAUCUGAAGGCUCCGUGGAUUCGACUCCUGCAGAAGCUUUCACCCUAACUGAUACUAUUUCCGUGCAGAGGAUGCAUCUGAUCUUAGCUGACUCUUUUUGAGUUAAAUUUUUUCAGAGUCUCCCUAAAGAGAGCUCUGCUUUGAAGUGUCAUACAUGGAGCUUCAAUAAAUUCUAAGCCUUUCAGACAAGUUCAAUGGAAGAAGACUCUGAUUUAUUGGGAUGACAGUGAACCCAGCUAAAAGACCACAAUUUUAAGCCUCCCUUGCCUCACCAAGUUCUGGCCAAUGAGAUUUGUGGAAUGCCCACAUGAUGGCUAUAGCUCCUACAGCGUGGGACCAUGAGGGGAGCUGGAGGAUGGAAGCCAGCGUCAGGACGGUGGAACAGAAAGGUCCCUGAUGACUCUGGAGCGACUGCACCAGCUCUUCACCUGAGUUCACUUCCUCCACUUGGGGGCAGAAGGAAAGGGGCCGUGAUGGACGAAGCACUGGUUGUGACCUGGGAGUCCUGAACUCAGUCCUGGCCCGACCCCUGACUGACAUGUGAUCUGUGGACCUCAGCCUCUUGAUCUAUAAAAGGGGAGACAACGGUGAGCAAGUUGCCAUGGCUUCUGCCCUCCUGAUGCUUACAGUCUGUCGGCAAACACAGCCAAGUAGUCACAAAGUAUAACGUGUGCGCCAGCAGGGAAGUGCACUUGUCAUUGGUGCCCGCGGCGGAAUCAGCGAACUUCCAGAGGAGUGUCUGUGCACAGAAGCACUGCGGCUCGCACCGAAAUGCAGGUGCCUGGGCGCCAGCCCAGUUCUACCCCCUUUCUCCUGCCCAGGCAGGGCCAUGCGCUCCUGCUGCACUCUGCCGGGGGCACAGAGGCGCAGGACACGGGAGACAGGGCCCUCCCUCCUCGAGCUCCCUCCUCCUUUUGCUGUUGUGGUGCCUCUCGCCUGGCGUCUCUCCUCCCGCCCCCAUCUACUGCCCUCUGCCACUCUCUAGCAAGCACACUUCUGAAUCCACCAUGGUUUCUGGUUGCCAGACGCGAUUGGUAGUUGUCAGUCCUUGAUGACAGUAGCUACGUCACUUCCCUGUGCUUUCCAUCUCCCUCAGCGGACCGUGAGCUCUGGGAAGAUGGGGAGAGGGUCUUAUUCAUCCGUCAGAGCUUACCGAAUAAAAGGGAUAGGUAAUCUAAACUGAUUGAAUCUGUGCCUCUUCCCCCUUUUAACUUAUUUGAAAAUGCCCUUUUGUAGACUUGAGAUUCUUCAGAUGUGUGGCAAAAUAAGGUAGGUAUUUUCUUCAAUAUCUACAAGAGCAGCUUUAAGAACCAACUGACCCUGUUGACCUUUCUGGUUGUAAAUAGGCAUCUCGGUUUAAACUCCGUGAAAAUGAAAUUUUCGGGGGGAGCAAAUUCCAAAUGGCCCAAGGUCAAUUAAUUCGUGACCUCUUGGGGUGCAUUUCAGAACUGACCCUGACAGGCCCACUGGGAAGCAGUUCUGUACAGUGAUAGGGCCUGUUUACCCACAGUGGACUAAGUGAAUGAUUGCGAGGCCUUACAAUGGAAUACUAGAGAGCUGUUAAAAAGGAGUGAGGCAAAUCCAUGUGGACUGAUGUGGAAAGAUCCCUGGUGUGUGUUAUUGAGAGGCAGAAACAAGGGCAGGUCCAAAUACAGAUUCAUCCCAAAUAUGGGCCUGUAUGUGCAGUCACUUUUUUUUGGAAGAAGACAUGAAAAACUGCUACCAGCCUACGUAUGGAGGAUGGGGAAUGCCCAUUUCAUAUCUUUCUGAACUAUUUGAAUGCUGUGACCAUGUGCAAGUAAUUUUUAUAUAACAAGAAAUUAACUGGCUUCAAAAGUUGUAAUUUUCAGAACAGCAACACUGCCAGUCUUCCAAGGUCAAGAGAGCAGACCAGCUCCUCGAGCUUCCCAGGCAUGCGUCACUCUCGCUGGCAGCUCUGGCACCCAAGUCUCAGGGUGGCUUUGCUACGUUCUUCUUGGACCUACUGGCUCUCAUGAAGAAAUAAAAAUGUUACUUCUUUAUGACAAAUUCUCCUGAAAGAAAGCCAGCUGCCUAUGAAACAAGGAGAAGGUCAAGCCAGAAAAAAACCGAAAUUCUGAAUAAAUAAAAAAUUAGAACAUCAAA
Equus caballus (horse) is the source of this 5000-nucleotide non-coding RNA. NCBI's taxonomy places the organism in Eukaryota, Metazoa, Chordata, Mammalia, Perissodactyla, Equidae. The record is from RefSeq and is a predicted model, not a curated record.